GACGAACGCUGGCGGCGUGCUUAACACAUGCAAGUCGAACGGAAAGGCCCUUUCGGGGGUACUCGAGUGGCGAACGGGUGAGUAACACGUGGGUGAUCUGCCCUGCACUUCGGGAUAAGCUUGGGAAACUGGGUCUAAUACCGGAUAGGACUACUGGGUGCAUGCCUGGUGGUGGAAAGCUUUUGCGGUGUGGGAUGGGCCCGCGGCCUAUCAGCUUGUUGGUGGGGUGAUGGCCUACCAAGGCGACGACGGGUAGCCGCCUGAGAGGGUGUCCGGCCACACUGGGACUGAGAUACGGCCCAGACUCCUACGGGAGGCAGCAGUGGGGAAUAUUGCACAAUGGGCGCAAGCCUGAUGCAGCGACGCCGCGUGGGGAGUGACGGCCU
RNAcentral lists this ribosomal RNA (386 nucleotides) under uncultured bacterium. RNAcentral describes it as "bacterial SSU rRNA". It matches the Rfam family "Bacterial small subunit ribosomal RNA", at positions 28 to 417 of the family's 1533-position model. The record is from RNAcentral.